GUUGCUGUUAUGCUGAGUAUAUGUUUUGUAAAUUAAUUGGAAAAAUGUCAAUAUAGAAGAACAUAUUUAAUGCUCAGAUAUCUGAGAGGUUUUGAGAAAGAGGUAGAGGUGUAGAAAGAGGAGACAGAGGCAUAGAAAGAGGUGACAGGUGUAGAAAGAGGAGACAGAGGUGUAGAAAGAGGAGACAGGUGUGGAAAGAGGAGGUAGAGGCAUAGAAAGAGGAGGUAGAGGUGUAGAAAGAGGAGGUAGAGGUGUAGAAAGAGGAGACAGAGGUGUGGAAAGAGGAGAUAGAGGUGUAGAAAGAGGAGACAGAGGUGUAGAAAGAGGAGACAGAGGUGUAGAAAGAGGAGACAGAGGUGUGGAAAGAGGAGGUAGAGGCGUAGAAAGAGGAGACCGAGGCAUAGAAAGAGGAGAUAGAGGUGUAGAAAGAGGAGACAAGAGGCGUAGAAAGAGGAGACCGAGGCAUAGAAAGAGGAGAUAGAGGUGUAGAAAGAGGAGACAAGAGGCAUAGAAAGAGGAGAUAGAGGUGUAGAAAGAGGAGACCGAGGCAUAGAAAGAGGAGAUAGAGGUGUAGAAAGAGGAGGUAGUGAUUUAGGAGACUGUAGAAGUGAUAUCAGCUUCAUAGCGCCACCUCGAGGAGAGAUGGGAACUGCUGGGUCUUUAAUGUGGAGAGGCCUUUACCAAACUUCAGCCUCCUGAGUGUUAACAUUAGCGUUUCAGUGUUAAUAUACUGAGUGUUAAUACACAUUUCUCUAAAGGUAAAUGAUGUUAUAUAGAGUUUGGUAGAACUAAAACCGUGUAAGUAAACAAAACACAAAUCUAGGGAAAAGCUUGGAAGUUGUCGGCGCACGAAUGUGACGUCAUGCUUUGGCACCGGAAGCAGAAUUGUAAACAGUAAUAGU
Molecule: long non-coding RNA, 902 nt
Organism: Ictalurus punctatus (channel catfish)
Lineage: Eukaryota; Metazoa; Chordata; Actinopteri; Siluriformes; Ictaluridae
Source: Ensembl